CCGGCUACUUGAGCGCUCAACCUGAGGGUUGGGAUGUCCGGCCGUCGUGAGGUUGCCUUCCCGCCACUCCGCGUCAACUCACGUUAUCGUCGCGCCGCCGUCCCGCAGAGCAUGUCGCAUUGUCGGUCUUGCUCAUCCUCUCCUCCCCGUUGUCCAGAUCCAUGCUCUCUUCAUCUGUUUUUUAUCUCAGCAGGUUCAGAGAACCACACCGCCCAGAUCCUUCCCCUCUUGUUGUCUCCGCAAGUUCGCGAGAUUGUACCGGACGUCUGACCGUCGUGAGGUUGCCAUCACGCCACUCCGUGUCAACUCGCGUUGCCGUCACGCCGCCGUCUCGCAGAGCAUGUCGCGUUAUCGGUCCUGCUCAUCCUCUCUCCUCCCAUAUUUUCUAGAUCCAUACCCUCUUCAUCUUUUUUUUAUCUCAGCAGGUUCAGAGAAUCAUACCGUCCGUACUCUUUCCUUCUUGUUAUCUCCGCAGGUUCGCGAGAUUGUGCCGGUGAGGAGGCUCCUUCACCCCUUCCAGCAAGCAACUCUUUCGGAGCGAUCAGAUGGCUCCUUGGUGGCCGUCGCAUUCCGCUGCGUGCACCCGCGGUCGCCUGCGCGUAGAUGGGGAGAUCGCUCACCACUGCGCCGCCGUCCCGACCACCAUCGACGACCGCGCAGCCGACAUCGUGGGCGUGGGCGACGACGCGCGCACCACUGCUGCCGCCGUCCACGGCCUGGACGCCACCGCGCACAGGCGGAGGCUCGAUCCGUGCCGCCGAGUACCCAAGUCACCGACCGACGCCCGCCGCGGACCGUGGCUGGAAGGAAUCGCAGGGACCUGCGGCGCUGCUAAUUUUGUCCAGCUUUGUCGUGAGCUGUGUGGUAGGAAUCGAUGGAGGCCUGGAGCGUGGAGCGCCAUUGGUCAAGACUCCCUCUACUCUGUUUCGUUGGUAAGGCCCGUACUUGAUUGACUGAUUUAAUUGAUGUCUUCAUUUGUUCUAUUGUUUAAUUGGUUGGCUAAUUUAUGAAUUAGGAAGUACUAUGAGACUUCAAAAUAAACGUGGAUGCAAAGGUAAGGGCAAGGGCAAGGCCAACGCCAAGAUGAGAUAUACAUAUUGCAAUUUGUUAGCCAUUUAUCCUAUGCUUGCUUGGUGGAUCAUUCCAUCUUAGUUACAGGUGUAGAUGUUAGAUUUUAGGAUGCAAUCCUGAUAUAUGUGCUAGAUAGGUCUAGCUAACUCUGAAAACUGCUACAGGAUUCUGACAGAAGAGAUCAAGUGAAGAAAGGUAUUUGUUAGGAUGUUCCAACCUUCUGAAAAAUCUGACAAGAGCAACGAAGUAAUUUAUGUGUGUUGGCCUGAUGUGCAGAGUGCAGACUCUUCCAUUUGGCACUGCUUCAUAUUUGACCACUUUGAAAGUUAGAUAUCUAAUAUCUUCACAAUGGUCAUGGAACCAUGGUGCUUAUUUUAGUUCUUAGCUUCUUGUGUAAUUAUCUGGAUCAAUUCUAGAAAUGCAAUUCUUGUCGUUGCAACGGAAAUACGAGCUGCUUAGUGCAUGAUAGAUGUUUGCUCAAUGACCCUUUGACAGUUACUUGUUUGGUCUCUAGAGGUGCUACGAGAAACAAAAGACAAAAAAAGGUGAAAUUUGAUUUUGAGCAUUUUAAUCUGUGUUGAAAUUUGAUAGCAUGCUGACACGGUUUGUAUGAUGUAAGUACAAUAUCUUUAUUAAUGCACCAAAUUUACACCCUGCUAGAGUAGUUCCCAUGUAUUAUAUGCAUUGUCUCUUUUAGUUGGUACUGUCAAAGACAUUGGCAAUUUUACUAUUGUCUUUGACAGUGAAGUUCAGGUCAGACACGAUCUACAGACGCCUAUCGGCCAGUCUAAGGCACAGUCGUGCCUGAAUCCAAUUGAUCUUCACCAUCAUAUGGCACCUGAUCAAGGUAUGCAUACUAUCAAGCCUGUCAUUUGACUUUUUUUGUUAAUCCAAAUGAUGGUACAAGCUGCAAUAUUUCUUCUACUAUUCUGAACUGAUUCAGUCAGUUGGUUCUGGCAAUAUUCAAAUAUGAAAGGCAAUGUGAUAUGGAAUACUCAUGAUUGGUAGGCGGCCCAAGCACCUUGGGGUUCAUUUAUAACAGUUAUGUACUAUGUUAACAUGUGUUAAUUUGUUAACGAUUAGUGUCUCAAACUCAUAGCAUUCUUAUACUGCACAACUCACAUGCAUCAGCUGCUCGCAUUUGCCUCAUAGAAAAAGAACAGAAGCUGGAGCUUGACCCCUCACAUAUUUUGACUCUUGAAUGCAGCUCCAGAAACACGAUGGUCUCAGUUUACAUCUUAAGGCCUGUUUUUUUAAUAAACAGGCUAUGUAUGCCUUCUGAAAGGUUAUCAAAUUCAUAUAUAAUUCAGGUGAAUUGAAAAAAAAACUGCUGAUAGAACACGAUUGAGAUGACCUCCCCUUCUUGGAUCUGGGAAUACUCUUAGAUGUAAUGCACACAUGUCUUAUAUCUGAAGCUGAUAGCACAACUUGAAGAUAAUUGAUGGUUGUGAGCAGGAAAAUGCAUUCGUUUUAUUCAAAACUGAAUGCCUCAACUCAAGUUAGUUUGUGGAAUACUCAUAUCUUUUAUGCCUGAAACUAAUAGCAUUUGAUCUCUCUUAUAUCUGAAACUGAUAGCAGCUGGAGAUUGUUUUUAUAUCCAAUGGUGGUUGUGUACAACAACACUAGCAAGUGGCAGCAUUAGUAUUAUUCUGAAAAGCUCGAAGUUUGUUUUAACUCCAUCUUGCAGCAUUUAGCAGUUGAUUAUAGAAGUAUAAAUGAAAUGUCUGGAUAAUAUAAAUUAAUUAAUUCGGUAUUGUUGCAUUAGCUCUAUGCUCACUUUGAAACUAUUUUUCACACUGGUCAUUCAAAGAUAAACCAGUGAAUGACUUAGUUUUUUUUUGUCGUUUCAAAAAAAAAAAAGGGCUGUGACCACCGCUAGGUAAGUUCAAUAACUUAUUUGUUCAAAGUCUUCCUUUAUGUACUGUACAUUUAAAUGAACACCACCAUAUACUGCAGGUCAUUGAGUUUGUCAUGCACGGCUGAGCUACCAAGAUUUAUUGCUUACAUAAUUGGCCAUCUGAAGGAGAAGAUGCCUGCAAUGAUGGGAAAAGCUAAGGUACAACAGUGAUUCAUAGGCAACCUAGAAAAUGAGUUUGCGAAGGUACUUACGAUGAGUUAACUGCUUGAGUGUUUAUGUCUGGUCUAAUUUCAGCACAAGAUGGUUUUUCUGAUAAUCAUUUGAAUAUUUCAAUGUUGCUUUUGGGUAAGCACAUUAACUCCUUGCUUUUGUUUUUUCAAUAUUGCUUUUGGGUGCCACGAUACAAAGAUUCAUUUGUAUCUGUUGGUCGUUGAUUUAAAUCCAUUGCCUAGGUCCAUGUAAACUGUGAGCAAAGCUUGUGUUUGAUGUUGUAAAAGUACUACUGUAACUACUAUGUGAUUUAUUUAUGCUACAAAAAGUUAAUAAGAUUAUUUCGUAUGAUAUCCUAA
Molecule: long non-coding RNA, 3498 nt
Organism: Panicum hallii
Lineage: Eukaryota; Viridiplantae; Streptophyta; Magnoliopsida; Poales; Poaceae
Exons: 2
Source: RefSeq, a predicted model, not a curated record